Molecule: ribosomal RNA, 499 nt
Filed under: uncultured bacterium
Lineage: Bacteria
Description: bacterial SSU rRNA
Rfam family: Bacterial small subunit ribosomal RNA
Source: RNAcentral
AGAGUUUGAUCAUGGCUCAGGAUGAACGCUAGCGGGAGGCCUAACACAUGCAAGCCGAGCGGUAUUGUUUCUUCGGAAAUGAGAGAGCGGCGUACGGGUGCGGAACACGUGUGCAACCUGCCUUUAUCUGGGGGAUAGCCUUUCGAAAGGAAGAUUAAUACUCCAUAAUAUAUUGAACGGCAUCGUUUAAUAUUGAAAGCUCCGGCGGAUAGAGAUGGGCACGCGCAAGAUUAGCUAGUUGGUGAGGUAACGGCUCACCAAGGCAAUGAUCUUUAGGGGCCUGAGAGGGUGAUCCCCCACACUGGUACUGAGACACGGACCAGACUCCUACGGGAGGCAGCAGUGAGGAAUAUUGGUCAAUGGGUGCAAGCCUGAACCAGCCAUCCCGCGUGAAGGACGACUGCCCCUAUGGGUUGUAAACUUCUUUUGUAUAGGGAUAAACCUUUCCACGUGUGGAAAGCUGAAGGUACUAUACGAAUAAGCACCGGCUAACUCCGUG